RNAcentral lists this ribosomal RNA (477 nucleotides) under uncultured bacterium. RNAcentral describes it as "bacterial SSU rRNA". It matches the Rfam family "Bacterial small subunit ribosomal RNA", at positions 29 to 507 of the family's 1533-position model. The record is from RNAcentral.
AACGAACACUGGCGGCGUGCCUUAAGCAUGCAAGUCGAGCGGUGCCAGAGAUUAUCUGGUAUAGCGGCGCACGGGUGAGUAACGCGUAUGCAACCUGCCUGUAAGAGGGGAAUAACCCGGAGAAAUUCGGACUAAUACCGCAUAAUACCACGAGACUGCAUGGUUUUGUGGUUAAACAUUUAUGGCUUACAGAUGGGCAUGCGUAUGAUUAGAUAGUUGGUAGGGUAACGGCCUACCAAGUCUACGAUCAUUAGGGGUUCUGAGAGGAAGGUCCCCCACACUGGUACUGAGACACGGACCAGACUCCUACGGGAGGCAGCAGUGAGGAAUAUUGGUCAAUGGGCGAGAGCCUGAACCAGCCAAGUCGCGUGAAGGAAGAAGGUUCUAUGGAUUGUAAACUUCUUUUGCAGGGGAAUAAAGGACGGUACGUGUACUGUUUUGUAUGUACCUUGCGAAUAAGGAUCGGCUAACUCCGUG